UAGGGAAUCUUCGGCAAUGGGGGCAACCCUGACCGAGCAACGCCGCGUGAGUGAAGAAGGUUUUCGGAUCGUAAAGCUCUGUUGUAAGAGAAGAACGUGUGUGAGAGUGGAAAGUUCACACAGUGACGGUAACUUACCAGAAAGGGACGGCUAACUACGUGCCAGCAGCCGCGGUAAUACGUAGGUCCCGAGCGUUGUCCGGAUUCAUUGGGCGUAAAGCGAGCGCAGGCGGUUUAAUAAGUCUGAAGUUAAAGGCAGUGGCUUAACCAUUGUUCGCUUUGGAAACUGUUAAACUUGAGUGCAGAAGGGGAGAGUGGAAUUCUAUGUGUAGCGGUGAAAUGCGUAGAUAUAUGGAGGAACACCGGUGGCGAAAGCGGCUCUCUGGUCUGUAACUGACGCUGAGGCUCGAAAGCGUGGGGAGCAAACAGG
This 429-nucleotide ribosomal RNA is filed under the name bacterium. RNAcentral describes it as "partial 16S ribosomal RNA". It matches the Rfam family "Bacterial small subunit ribosomal RNA", at positions 355 to 776 of the family's 1533-position model. The record is from RNAcentral.